UUGUUGAGAUCACACUAGUCUUCACAUUCCAGACUAAAUACCACCAUCCACCAUCUCAAACAAGCAUCGCCUGUUCAUACAAACCACAAGUAAUAUCUCCGUUCCUUGUAUUUAAUUCUGCUGCCUUGCCUUAGAAUAUGCAUUUGAUUUUGACUAAAAUAUCUACAUCUGCCAGCAUAUAAAUAGAAAUAAAAAUUUAAAUACAACUUCCUGUAUGUUCAGCUAGGGAUAGCAUAUGAUAAAUGUGAUUAUAACACAGGAAGUAAACCUAAAAGGAUGUAGUCCUCAUUAAUCUUGUAGUCCUGAACAAUGUAUAAAUUGUUUUCCGCCCUCCAAAAUGCAGAAUAUUUUGUGUAAUUCCUUGUAUUUCUCUCCUUUCUGCUACAG
RNAcentral lists this long non-coding RNA (387 nucleotides) under Homo sapiens (human). Its description in RNAcentral is "HSALNT0041718". The record is from RNAcentral. Lineage: Eukaryota; Metazoa; Chordata; Mammalia; Primates; Hominidae.